RNAcentral lists this ribosomal RNA (263 nucleotides) under uncultured bacterium. RNAcentral describes it as "partial 16S ribosomal RNA". It matches the Rfam family "Bacterial small subunit ribosomal RNA", at positions 524 to 786 of the family's 1533-position model. The record is from RNAcentral.
AACGUAGGAGGCGAGCGUUAUCCGGAUUUACUGGGCGUAAAGGGCGUGCAGGCGGUUGUGCAAGUUGGGCGUGAAAUCUCCCGGCUCAACUGGGAGGGGUCGUUCAAAACUGCAUAGCUUGAGGGCAGGAGAGGGAAGUGGAAUUCCCGGUGUAGCGGUAAUAUGCGCAGAUAUCGGGAGGAACACCAGUGGCGAAGGCGGCUUCCUGGCCUGUUCCUGACGCUGAGACGCGAAAGCCAGGGUAGCGAACGGGAUUAGAUACC